CAGCAGCCGCCGCGGUAAAACGAGGGGGGCAAGCGUUGUUCGGAAUUAUUGGGCGUAAAGGGUGCGUAGGCGGUUUGAUAAGUCAUCUGUGAAAUCUAUGGGCUCAACCCAUAGUCUGCAGGCGAAACUGUCGGGCUUGAGAGUGGGAGAGGUGAGUGGAAUUUCCGGUGUAGCGGUGAAAUGCGUAGAUAUCGGAAGGAACACCUGUGGCGAAAGCGGCUCACUGGACCAUUUCUGACGCUGAUGCACGAAAGCUAGGGGAGCAAACAGGAUUAGAUACCCCGGUAGUCCCUGUCUCUUAUAC
This 304-nucleotide ribosomal RNA is filed under the name uncultured bacterium. RNAcentral's name for it is "partial 16S ribosomal RNA". It matches the Rfam family "Bacterial small subunit ribosomal RNA", at positions 506 to 807 of the family's 1533-position model. The record is from RNAcentral.